UUAAACGACUGUGGGGAACUGUGUCAAACGCCUUGCGGAAGUCAAGAAACACGGCAUCUACCUGUGAACCCGUGUCUAAGGCCCUCUGAGUCUCGUGGACGAAUAGCGCGAGCUGGGUUUCACACGACCGUCUUUUUCGAAACCCAUGCUGAUUCCUACAGAGUAGAUUUCUAGUCUCCAGAAAAGACAUUAUACUCGAACAUAAUACGUUCAGAAGGAAUCUCUGUACGGCUUUUCUUAUACUAUUUGGAAAGCGCGGGAAAUUGUAUUCACUUUUUGACAAUCCAGUGUUUACUCGUUUGUGAAAAAGACGUGAAAGAAGUUGGUAAAGUAAAUUGCGGAAGUAUUACUUUCACAUCUUCAGAAUCAAGUAUAUGAAAAAGACUUGAUAAUGCCUGUUUUGAACGGUAGUACAGUACUGCAUUUUCUUUUGAAAUUAGGGAUUUAAUAUUUUUUGCAUUUGAACAUCACUUCCAUCUAAUGGCGUUGAAAUGAGAACGAGAUUGAUGUGUGAACACGCAGAGUUCACUAGGGAACGGGAAAGAAAUUUUUUUUGGGGGGCACAUUUCGUCACCACAUGGUUCGAAACGAAGGUCUUCGAUGUUCAAAACCUAUACAUUUGUAAUAAGUGUCUUGGACUGUAAGCAUACAACGUCUGUAACGCAUCUGUUUUGUCAGAGCAGUAAAGUGCCUACACAUUAAAAUAUAUUUUUUCCAGAUUAAAUUUAUAUGCUCACAUUGUAAUUUUUUGUACCCCUUCGCUGCAGUUAGCAUUGCCGACAGGGAAGGCACAUGUUAGUGAGAUUUUGGGAGCUGUCCAAGAAAAGAAGAUACUCUUGAUAUGAUAAUAGUAAUGUAAUCUACCUUUUUCGUGGAAGAACUUACUCUACAUUUCUAUUAUUUUGAGAAAAGAUACUUUAUUUCAAACUGAGGAAACACUUUCCUAUGCUUAUUUUCAGUCACAUUUUACAUUUACGUCUUUUAUUUUAAUGCGGAAUAGUUGAAUAAUUGUAAAAGUUUCCACACCAAAGAGGUGGUGUCGAACUUGGCAGAAUUUCUUGGGAAUAGCUUACUGGAAAUUUCCAUUUGUCUCCUAAUUAUUGAGUUUUUGUUAAAUAUGUUCAAUAGUGCAUGAAGAUCUUUGUUAAACUUUAAACUUUUCGUUCAUUCUGUUAAUCACUCUGUAUUGUUUCUGUGUGUUCUCUGUAGAUGCAGCAGGAACUGCGAUAAAAGCAGCACUGAAAACGGUUACACUCGAGAAAACUACAAAACUUUCUAGUGAUGGUGUGAAUAAAGGAGAAGCAUAUUUAACAGAUAAAGGUGUUGUUUACAUUAAGCAAAAUAUGACACCACAGGUGUUGUGUUGUUUGUGGUAUUGACAGUUGCGGUUGAUCUAUAUAGAACAAUGGAAGUGUCCGAUUCUUGUGGAUUUUGUUGAUGUGGUGGAACAUGGCAAGGGAGAUAUUUAAUUGUGAAUAUGAAAGUCUAGAAGCUAUUGCAGCAACAAACAUAAUACGAGUCCCAAAGCCUCUUGCGAUUGUGGACAAUCCCUUGGGUGGAGCUUUGUUUGUUUCAGAGUAUAUUGAUAUGAAAUCACUGGACCAGUUCUCUCAAGAACUUGGGCAGCAGUUGGCAAGAUUACACCUGCAUAAUGCUGUUCUAGGCAAACAAAAAAUCAAAGGAUUUGUAGGGAAGGAGGAAAAAGUACAGUUUGUAAAAGAAUUUGGUUUCCAUGUUAAAACAAGAUUUGGGAACACACUUUUGGAAAAUGAAUGGUGCAGUGACUGGCCUACCUUUUUCGUGAGACACAGACUCAGUUAUCAAUUUAGAUUACUUGAGGAGAAUUAUGCAGAUGCUGAGGCACGAGAACUGUGGUCACAGCUACUUCGGAAGCUACCUCAGUUUUUUGAAGGCGCAGAUAUAAAACCAUCGUUAUUGCAUGGGAACUUACAAAGAGACAAUAUUGCGGAAACUAACACUCAUCCAAUCACUUUUCAUCCAGCAUCUUUUUUUGGCCAUCAAGAUUUUGAUCUGGUUACUUCACAAAUGUAUGGUGGUCUUGGACAAGCAUUCUAUAAUGCAUAUUAUGACAUAAUUCCUAGGGCCCCUGGUUCAAGGAAAAGGAAUCAGAUCUAUAAAUUAUUUCAUCUCCUAAAUAAGUGGGAUCACGAGAAUAAGAUUAUAAUAAUUACUGCAUGCACAGAGGCAUUCAAACAAUCAUUCUUCCCGCACUUUGUAUGUGAAUGGAACAGGAAGAAAUCCUAAUAGCUGGUACAGUUGGAUAUACUCUCUGCCAUGCACAUCACAGUGCAGAAUCAUGUGUUCCUCACUCCUGUAUCCACUAAAGAACCAUCAGCAUGCAAGGAAGACAUAACACCUUUGUGAUCUACUUUGGAGAGAGGGGUGCAUGAUAGAUAUCCCCUUCCGUCAUCUUUACUGGAAGGUGCCACUGUUGUGCAAGAAGAAUGGUGCAAGAUACCUUUGAAUAUGAUACUGGACUGGUAUUUAUCCAUUCCGAAGCAAAUGGAAGCUGUUUUGAAUCUAACAGUUUUCCUGCACCGUAUUAGUCAUGGAACCAGUCUGGAGAAGAACACAAGAAGAAAGCUAUAUCUUUAAUGAAGUUUCUGUUGAAAGGACCAUAAGAAUUCACUACUACUACAUAAAAAAAUACAGUUGAAAAUAAACACUAUUUUACCAAAUUAAUUAUUUGCACCAUGUAUUUAUCUGAAUCAAAAUGUAGCAUUCAGUUUUAGCUUUCAGAAAUUGUGGUAUGUCUGCUUUUAAAGGAAAGGGUUUUUGAGAUUUCCGAUUACCUGAACAUAAACAUGUUUCUGAAAUUUUAAAGUAGUUUGCUGAGCUGUAUAGUGGCUGAGAUAACAGAAGAAAUAAUAUAUUUUUGGAUUGUAAAUUUUAUAAAUUUUAUGUUAAGUGUAAUCACUGAACUGGAUGUUAUUUAUUUGUUGUAUACUUGGAUUGCAUGCAUAGGCAAUAACAAAGAUUCAUAAAGCAAAUUGUGCCAUAUUCCUGACUGUGAACACAAGUAACAUUCCAAUUUGCAAACAUAGUAACAAAUUAAAUAACAUUGUAACUAAUAAUUACGCUUUUGAAUUGAUUUGUCUGCAAAAAGUAACUAAACUCACAAAAAAGUAUGGAGGACAUUCCAUUAGGUAUCACUGCCACACUGUAUAUUCUUUUGUUAUAAACUUUAUACCAAUAUACUAGUGAAAUUUAUGAAGAAAGA
Molecule: RNA transcript, 3241 nt
Organism: Schistocerca gregaria
Lineage: Eukaryota; Metazoa; Arthropoda; Insecta; Orthoptera; Acrididae
Gene name: fructosamine-3-kinase-like
Exons: 9
Source: RefSeq, a predicted model, not a curated record